Molecule: ribosomal RNA, 409 nt
Filed under: Acinetobacter soli
Lineage: Bacteria; Pseudomonadati; Pseudomonadota; Gammaproteobacteria; Moraxellales; Moraxellaceae
Description: bacterial SSU rRNA
Rfam family: Bacterial small subunit ribosomal RNA
Source: RNAcentral
UGCAGUCGAGCGGAGUGAUGGUGCUUGCACUAUCACUUAGCGGCGGACGGGUGAGUAAUGCUUAGGAAUCUGCCUAUUAGUGGGGGACAACAUCUCGAAAGGGAUGCUAAUACCGCAUACGUCCUACGGGAGAAAGCAGGGGAUCACUUGUGACCUUGCGCUAAUAGAUGAGCCUAAGUCGGAUUAGCUAGUUGGUGGGGUAAAGGCCUACCAAGGCGACGAUCUGUAGCGGGUCUGAGAGGAUGAUCCGCCACACUGGGACUGAGACACGGCCCAGACUCCUACGGGAGGCAGCAGUGGGGAAUAUUGGACAAUGGGGGGAACCCUGAUCCAGCCAUGCCGCGUGUGUGAAGAAGGCCUUAUGGUUGUAAAGCACUUUAAGCGAGGAGGAGGCUCUUUUGGUUAUACC